AAAUGAGCUAAUAACACCAAAAGCUUUCCUCAUCAAGGCAAUUUCCCAAUGUGUUAUCUCAACCUACUUGUCAUUAUCGAUCCUCUCCCACAUUUCACUGUGAAUGACCAACUGUAACACAGCAUUAUUAUUAAAGAUAUGAUUAGGAAACACCUAAUUACAUACAUAUUUACAUUAAUUAUACUUGCUGUAAUCUCCUACAGUGCAAGACGAGUUGAGUCAAAC
This 225-nucleotide long non-coding RNA is filed under the name Prunus persica (peach). RNAcentral describes it as "long non-coding RNA (PPER_LNC003719)". The record is from RNAcentral. Lineage: Eukaryota; Viridiplantae; Streptophyta; Magnoliopsida; Rosales; Rosaceae.